Molecule: ribosomal RNA, 924 nt
Filed under: uncultured Actinomycetes bacterium
Lineage: Bacteria; Bacillati; Actinomycetota; Actinomycetes
Description: bacterial SSU rRNA
Rfam family: Bacterial small subunit ribosomal RNA
Source: RNAcentral
GAGUUUGAUUCUGGCUCAGGACGAACGCUGGCGGCGUGCUUAACACAUGCAAGUCGAACGGAAAGGCCCUGCUUUUGUGGGGUGCUCGAGUGGCGAACGGGUGAGUAACACGUGAGUAACCUGCCCUUGACUUUGGGAUAACUUCAGGAAACUGGGGCUAAUACCGGAUAGGAGCUCCUGCUGCAUGGUGGGGGUUGGAAAGUUUCGGCGGUUGGGGAUGGACUCGCGGCUUAUCAGCUUGUUGGUGGGGUAGUGGCUUACCAAGGCUUUGACGGGUAGCCGGCCUGAGAGGGUGACCGGCCACAUUGGGACUGAGAUACGGCCCAGACUCCUACGGGAGGCAGCAGUGGGGAAUAUUGCACAAUGGGCGGAAGCCUGAUGCAGCAACGCCGCGUGCGGGAUGACGGCCUUCGGGUUGUAAACCGCUUUCGCCUGUGACGAAGCGUGAGUGACGGUAAUGGGUAAAGAAGCACCGGCUAACUACGUGCCAGCAGCCGCGGUGAUACGUAGGGUGCGAGCGUUGUCCGGAUUUAUUGGGCGUAAAGGGCUCGUAGGUGGUUGAUCGCGUCGGAAGUGUAAUCUUGGGGCUUAACCCUGAGCGUGCUUUCGAUACGGGUUGACUUGAGGAAGGUAGGGGAGAAUGGAAUUCCUGGUGGAGCGGUGGAAUGCGCAGAUAUCAGGAGGAACACCAGUGGCGAAGGCGGUUCUCUGGGCCUUUCCUGACGCUGAGGAGCGAAAGCGUGGGGAGCGAACAGGCUUAGAUACCCUGGUAGUCCACGCUGUAAACGGUGGGUACUAGGUGUGGGGUCCAUUCCACGGGUUCCGUGCCGUAGCUAACGCUUUAAGUACCCCGCCUGGGGAGUACGGCCGCAAGGCUAAAACUCAAAGGAAUUGACGGGGCCCCGCACAAGCGGCGGAGCAUGC